CGCAAGUCGGGUCGAUUUGCUCCUCCGAAUCCCCCAGGUGCGGAAGCAAGCAAGGGUAAGGAGUUGAGCGAUGCGUUCCCGGCUUGUUUUU
Molecule: non-coding RNA, 91 nt
Filed under: Flammeovirga aprica JL-4
Lineage: Bacteria; Pseudomonadati; Bacteroidota; Cytophagia; Cytophagales; Flammeovirgaceae
Also listed under: 2 other names
Source: RNAcentral